This is a non-coding RNA of Brassica napus (rape), 124 nucleotides long. The record is from Rfam. NCBI's taxonomy places the organism in Eukaryota, Viridiplantae, Streptophyta, Magnoliopsida, Brassicales, Brassicaceae.
GGAAUAUAAGAACUUGACACUUAACUUUUAACUAAAAAGGUAAGAACCGUUUCUUAAAUAAGAGUUUCAAGAGACAGUUCUUAACUUUUUUAGUUAAAAGUUAAGAGACGGGUUCUUAUAUUAC